CCCUUAGAUGUUCUGGGCUGCACGCGCGCUACACUGAUGCGCUCAACGAGUUUACGAACUUGCCCGGAAGGGUUGGUUAAUCUUUUUAAAACGCAUCGUGAUGGGGAUAGAUUAUUGCAAUUAUUAAUCUUCAACGAGGAAUUCCUAGUAAGCGCGAGUCAUCAGCUCGCACUGAUUACGUCCCUGCCCUUUGUACACACCGCCCGUCGCUCCUACCGAUUGAAUGGUCCGGUGAAAUCUCGGGACGGCGGCUUGGUCGCUUGCGUCCGACUGCUGAAACUUGAUUAAACCAUAUCAUUUAGAGGAAGGUGAAGUCGUAACA
This 322-nucleotide ribosomal RNA is filed under the name uncultured eukaryote. RNAcentral's name for it is "partial 18S ribosomal RNA". It matches the Rfam family "Eukaryotic small subunit ribosomal RNA", at positions 1470 to 1796 of the family's 1831-position model. The record is from RNAcentral.